CCUACGGGAGGCUGCAGUAGGGAAUCUUCCGCAAUGGACGAAAGUCUGACGGAGCAACGCCGCGUGAGCGAAGAAGGUCUUCGGAUCGUAAAGCUCUGUUGUUAGGGAAGAACAAGUAUCGGAGGAAAUGCCGGUACCUUGACGGUACCUGACGAGAAAGCCACGGCUAACUACGUGCCAGCAGCCGCGGUAAUACGUAGGUGGCAAGGGUUGUCCGGAUUUAUUGGGCGUAAAGCGCGCGCAGGCGGUCCUUUAAGUCUGAUGUGAAAUCUUGCGGCUCAACCGCAAGCGGUCAUUGGAAACUGGGGGACUUGAGUGCGGAAGAGGAAGGCGGAAUUCAACGUGUAGCGGUGAAAUGCGUAGGGAUGUGGAGGAAAACCAGGGGCGAAGGCGGCUUCCUGGCCUGUACCUGACGCUGAGGCGCGAAAGCGUGGGAGCAAACAGGAUUAGAUACCCUUGUAGUC
This 464-nucleotide ribosomal RNA is filed under the name uncultured bacterium. RNAcentral describes it as "bacterial SSU rRNA". It matches the Rfam family "Bacterial small subunit ribosomal RNA", at positions 338 to 795 of the family's 1533-position model. The record is from RNAcentral.